ACUCCUACGGGAGGCAGCAGUGGGGAAUAUUGCACAAUGGGCGCAAGCCUGAUGCAGCCAUGCCGCGUGUAUGAAGAAGGCCUUCGGGUUGUAAAGUACUUUCAGCAGUGAGGAAGGUGGGUAUGUUAAUAGCAUAUUCAUUUGACGUUAGCUGCAGAAGAAGCACCGGCUAACUCCGUGCCAGCAGCCGCGGUAAUACGGAGGGUGCGAGCGUUAAUCGGAAUUACUGGGCGUAAAGCGCAUGCAGGUGGUUUGUUAAGUCAGAUGUGAAAGCCCGGGGCUCAACCUCGGAAUUGCAUUUGAAACUGGGCAAACUAGAGUACUGUAGAGGGGGGUAGAAUUUCAGGUGUAGCGGUGAAAUGCGUAGAGAUCUGAAGGAAUACCGGUGGACGAAGGCGGCCCCCUGGACAGAUACUGACACUCAGAUGCGAAAGCGUAGGGGAGCAAACAGGAUUAGAUACCCUGGUAGGACUCU
This 475-nucleotide ribosomal RNA is filed under the name uncultured bacterium. RNAcentral's name for it is "bacterial SSU rRNA". It matches the Rfam family "Bacterial small subunit ribosomal RNA", at positions 335 to 798 of the family's 1533-position model. The record is from RNAcentral.